GUUUAAUUGGACUCAACGCCGGGAAGCUCACCGGAUAGGACAGCAGAAUGAUUGCCGGGCUGAAGACCCUGCAUGACUAGCUGAGAGGAGGUGCAUGGCCGUCGUCAGUUCGUACUGUGAAGCAUCCUGUUAAGUCAGGCAACGAGCAAGACCCACGCCAACAGUUGCCAGCAUGGUCUCCGGACUGAUGGGGACACUGUUGGGACCGCCUCUGCUAAAGAGGAGGAAGGAAUGGGCAACGGUAGGUCAGCAUGCCCCGAAUUAUCCGGGCUAUACGCGGGCUACAAUGGGCAGGACAAUGGGCAUCGACACCGUGAGGUGGAGGCAAUCUCCUAAACCUGUCCUUAGUUCGGAUUGUGGGCUGAAACUCGCCCACAUGAAGCUGGAAUCUGUAGUAAUCGCGUUUCAAAAUAACGCGGUGAAUUUGUCCCUGCUCCUUGCACACACCGCCCGUCAAACCACCCGAGUGGGGUUUGGAUGAGGUUACGGUCGUUGCCGUAGUCGAAUCUAGGUUCCGCAAGGGGGGUUAAGUCGUAACAAGGUAACCAAGGGCGAAU
Molecule: ribosomal RNA, 557 nt
Filed under: uncultured archaeon
Lineage: Archaea
Description: bacterial SSU rRNA
Rfam family: Archaeal small subunit ribosomal RNA
Source: RNAcentral